This 74-nucleotide transfer RNA is filed under the name Dictyostelium purpureum. RNAcentral's name for it is "tRNA-Pro". It matches the Rfam family "tRNA". From Rfam's summary of the family: Transfer RNA (tRNA) molecules are approximately 80 nucleotides in length. The record is from RNAcentral. Lineage: Eukaryota; Evosea; Eumycetozoa; Dictyosteliales; Dictyosteliaceae.
CCAGCUGUAGCAUAAUUGGUUAAUGUAGUAGUCUUGGGCGCUAUUGAUUGUAAGUUCGAGUCUUACCAGCUGGA